RNAcentral lists this ribosomal RNA (610 nucleotides) under uncultured bacterium. RNAcentral describes it as "bacterial SSU rRNA". The stretch from base 1 to 525 matches the Rfam family "Bacterial small subunit ribosomal RNA", at positions 338 to 873 of the family's 1533-position model. The record is from RNAcentral.
CCUACGGGAGGCAGCAGUGGGGAAUAUUGCACAAUGGGCGGAAGCCUGAUGCAGCGACGCCGCGUGAGGGAUGACGGCCUUCGGGUUGUAAACCUCUUUCAGUAGGGAAGAAGCGUAAGUGACGGUACCUGCAGAAGAAGCGCCGGCUAACUACGUGCCAGCAGCCGCGGUAAUACGUAGGGCGCAAGCGUUAUCCGGAAUUAUUGGGCGUAAAGAGCUCGUAGGCGGUUUGUCGCGUCUGCCGUGAAAGUCCGGGGCUCAACUCCGGAUCUGCGGUGGGUACGGGCAGACUAGAGUGAUGUAGGGGAGACUGGAAUUCCUGGUGUAGCGGUGAAAUGCGCAGAUAUCAGGAGGAACACCGAUGGCGAAGGCAGGUCUCUGGGCAUUAACUGACGCUGAGGAGCGAAAGCAUGGGGAGCGAACAGGAUUAGAUACCCUGGUAGUCCAUGCCGUAAACGUUGGGCACUAGGUGUGGGGGACAUUCCACGUUUUCCGCGCCGUAGCUAACGCAUUAAGUGCCCCGCCGUGGGAGGUACGGCCGCGAGACGUAAACUAACAAAGAAAGUAGACGGCGNGAGACGUGCCGAACGGACGACGACGAGGGAGGAGG